AUGGGCGAUGGAGCCAAUCGACCACGUCGACAUCUCGUCCGGAUCACAUCAAGGGGAAAACAAAUACUACAAAAACCUGCCUCGCCCGCACGUUACCAUCGUCAUGUAGCUGUAUGCAUGUACGCGUCUCCAAGGCAACUCGACGUUGUUAACAGCUGCACGAGCUGUGAUAGAUUCGAUAUUUUUGCUCAUCCAAGGCGACAAAUGGGAGUAUUUUACUCGCAUGAUGGCAUGCACCACGUCGGCACGUACGCACGGCCCCUAUCUUGUGCCGUCAGGCCACGUCCUUCCCUUUCGAUUUCUAUUGUUUCGCUCGUACGUACUCCUUGCGUUGCGUGGCUCCGAUUAUAUAUAGAGAAAAAACGAGUCCCUCGAAAAAAAAAACGAGUUAGCGGUGCAAGUACGGCGGCCGGACCGGCGACCGGCCGCGCAAUUCCUGUCAAACUCACGGGACCCAAUAUCCACCGACUCGUACAGCGACGCCGAAAGAUCGCACCUGGCCAUGCAUGCAUCCCCGGCGCACGGGCGGCAGGCGGGCGGCGGCAGCGGCUGAAUACUAAUCGCAUCGGAUGCAUGGCGACUUAG
RNAcentral lists this ribosomal RNA (585 nucleotides) under Triticum aestivum (bread wheat). RNAcentral describes it as "partial small subunit ribosomal RNA". Lineage: Eukaryota; Viridiplantae; Streptophyta; Magnoliopsida; Poales; Poaceae. The record is from RNAcentral.